GCUUGCUCCCUGAUGUUAGCGGCGGACGGGUGAGUAACACGUGGGUAACCUGCCUGUAAGACUGGGAUAACUCCGGGAAACCGGGGCUAAUACCGGAUGGUUGUUUGAACCGCAUGGUUCAGACAUAAAAGGUGGCUUCGGCUACCACUUACAGAUGGACCCGCGGCGCAUUAGCUAGUUGGUGAGGUAACGGCUCACCUAGGGGAGUAUGCGUAGCCGACCUGAGAGGGUGAUCGGCCACACUGGGACUGAUACACGGCCCAGACUCCUACGGGAGGCAGCAGUAGGGAAUCUUCCGCU
This 300-nucleotide ribosomal RNA is filed under the name Bacillus amyloliquefaciens. RNAcentral describes it as "bacterial SSU rRNA". It matches the Rfam family "Bacterial small subunit ribosomal RNA", at positions 78 to 370 of the family's 1533-position model. The record is from RNAcentral. Lineage: Bacteria; Bacillati; Bacillota; Bacilli; Caryophanales; Bacillaceae.